UGUUUCUUCACAGCCAGCCAUUAACUCAUGAUUCACCGUCGUCAGAAACCCCGCCAGGCCCUUUCCUUCACAGCCAGCCACUAACCCAUGAUUCACCCCAGCCACGUCACCGCUUCCAUGCCACACCUCUGCCAUCGCAACAGGGGAACAAUCAGUUGCUGCGUGAUUCACCGUCUUCAGAAACCCCGCCAGGCCCUUUCCUUCACAGCCAGCCACUAACCCAUGCCACACCUCUGCCAUCGCAACAGGGGAACAAUCAGUUGC
Molecule: long non-coding RNA, 264 nt
Organism: Neoarius graeffei (lesser salmon catfish)
Lineage: Eukaryota; Metazoa; Chordata; Actinopteri; Siluriformes; Ariidae
Exons: 6
Source: RefSeq, a predicted model, not a curated record